This is a long non-coding RNA of Hipposideros armiger (great roundleaf bat), 170 nucleotides long. RefSeq lists it as uncharacterized. The transcript is spliced from 3 exons. The record is from RefSeq and is a predicted model, not a curated record. NCBI's taxonomy places the organism in Eukaryota, Metazoa, Chordata, Mammalia, Chiroptera, Hipposideridae.
GAACUGCAGACCCGGACAGGAACCCGUCACUCCCAGCCGCCCUCUGCUCCUGCCCCUGGGCCUGAACCCCAUGGACAAAGGUCCUGAGUGUCCCCUGCAGAUGUUUUGUGUAUAGUACUGUUCUUUCAGACAUUCCAGAAAGAGAUUGUUUUACCUUCUGAAAUGCCUCA